AUAGGACAGGACUGCUGCUGCUCACUUUCUGCUGGGCAGGUGUUGAUGGUCAGACUCUGACAGAAUCUGAACCAGUGACUAAAAGGCCUGGAGAAUCUCACAGAUUGACCUGUACA
Molecule: long non-coding RNA, 116 nt
Organism: Trematomus bernacchii (emerald rockcod)
Lineage: Eukaryota; Metazoa; Chordata; Actinopteri; Perciformes; Nototheniidae
Exons: 2
Source: RefSeq, a predicted model, not a curated record